This 2158-nucleotide long non-coding RNA is filed under the name Capsicum annuum. Its description in RNAcentral is "long non-coding RNA (CANN_LNC000733)". The record is from RNAcentral. Lineage: Eukaryota; Viridiplantae; Streptophyta; Magnoliopsida; Solanales; Solanaceae.
AGGAAAAGGUGUUAGGCAUCCCUCGGUCCCGUGGUUCGAUCGUGAUCACUUCGUUGCGCUAUAUCAGCUAAUAUAACACUAUAAAAUACAUAAACCAACAAAACAGACAACAAGAAACAAACAAACAAAACUCUGAAAAAUAGUGUUCAGUCCAAUUUAGUACAAACCAAAAUAAGAAAAAUGCUGAAAUGAAAACCGAAACUAUUCUAACUACCUUAACUAUGCUUUACCCAAUGUCGUGGGCCUUGAUCACGAUUGAUAUUUUGAAUAUAGAGUGUUGUGGGUCAUUCUCUAGUGAAUAUAUACAUAUUACCUCGGGGCAUCUCCCGUUGAAUAAAUAUGUUUGAUAAGAAAAUGCAAUAUAAAUAGAAAAAUCAUUCAACAAGCAUUCACACAUUCGAUAAUUUAGAAUCCUAAGGCUUGCCUACAAAAAACUUAAGAUUUACCUAUCAAUUCUUGUCCUAAAUAUGAUACUAUAUCAUUCAACAAAAUCAACAUUUAUUACGAACUAAAAAACCAUCAAUGGAUAAAACUAACCAAUAUUCAUCUUUAUCAAUUUUUAAUUCCUGCUCCAAAUUUAUUUUAACACAAACCCCCUAGGUGGAAUUAGUUAUCCAAACCCAUUAAGUUUGUCCCAUCAAGAUCAAUUAUUCACAACAAUCAAGAACCAAGAAAAAAUCAUUCAACCAAUAGAACCAAGACAUCAAAACACAUCCACAAUCAUAUAAAAUUAAGGCAAUAGAGUUGAAAAUUGAAACAUACAGAAAGCUUUCGGAAUUAAAAAUUUCUCGAUAAAAGGUAGAAUCCUCUUCGAUAAACUUGACUCAAACCUCAACCCAAACCCAAAUGAACAAUUUUGAUCCCGAACUCCGUUUCAAUCAAACAAAGUUGUUUGGUCACUAGUGGAACAUUUGGUCUCCAUCAAUGAUGUCUUCCGAUGACGGUUCGACUAGUUCUUGGUGGUGGUGGGUUUUGGAUUACUUUUUUGGUGGGUAUGAUGCCGGGGGUUGUUGUUUUCAUAUCGUUAGAGCUCCGAUGAGCUCAGAAGGAAUAAAAAAUAAAGAACACAUCAAAUUUCAGGUGACGGUGAUUUUUUUUGGUGAGAAAUUACCAAAACAGUCAGCCUUCGCCUGUUUUCUCGCUCUCUAUUCUUUCUCCCCUGGUCUCUCUUUCUCGCAAUCCCUUCUUGGAUCUCUCGUUGUUGCUCGUUUCUUUCUUUUUCCCAUUUUGCCCUCUAUUUCUCUCUAUUCUCUCUCGCGAACUCUCUCUUAAUUCUUCACUAUUUUCCCUCUAUUCUCCACUAUUUUCUUACUCUUUUCUUCACUAUGUGUGUAUGUAUUUUCUGGGUGUGUUGUUCUCCAUGUCUAUAUCUGUGUAUCAAUGAAAAUCCUCCUAUAUGUGUAAUUCUCCUUGGUCUUGGGUGUAUGAAUAUUGUGUGUGAAAAUAGAGAGUGUGUGUCAAUGAAAAACUCCAAGCUUUAUUUUGUAUAGUGUCAUCUGUUAUAUGGAGAUAUAUGAGUAUAUGUGUGUGUAAACAUUUGUAAGGUGAGACUAUGAGGGGUACAUGGGAUGAGGUAGGGGGUAUGUGAGGUAGGGGGUUAGGGUGGUUAGGAUGAGGUAGGUGUGCACAUUUAAAUAGGUAAAGUGGUUAUAUUUUUUAUUUUGUGUUUUAAUGGGGAAGUAUCAAAGGGAGUGGGAUGUGUGGUAUAGGUGAAAGGGAAUGAGAUAAAUAGACGUAUAAAAAGAGUCAAAUUUAUGUGUCUACAACCACUGCUAUAAUUCACUCAUUUUCAUCCAUUGUUGACCAUUCUCCAUUAAUUAUUCCCUCCAUUAUUUCCUAUAAAGCUUUCAAAUUAGUCCACUUUUCUUUUCGAUACUCUAGCUCAAUUAGCUCCAUUCCAACACUCCAGAUCUCUUAUACAACUAUAAUCAACUCCAUUGUUUUGUUUGUCCUUGAAAAAGAAACCAAGUUAGAUAUUUAUAUCACUGUACGGAGAUUUCUUCAUUACUCAACAGUCUAGGCAGUCUAUCAAUGAUAAAUCAAUAAGUUAGUCUCAUAUGGAUUAUCGUUUAUGUCUACAAUGUCUAUUACAGAAAUUAUUAUGUUUGGUGUUGACCUCAUGGGUCAUUGUUAGUUGAUCCUAAAUGUUGGAACUGGA